CCUACGGGGUGCAGCAGUGAGGAAUAUUGGUCAAUGGGCGAGAGCCUGAACCAGCCAAGUCGCGUGAGGGAGUACUGCCCUAUGGGUUGUAAACCUCUUUUGUCGGGGAGCAAAAGCCGGACGUGUCCGGCUGUGAGAGUACCCGAAGAAAAAGCAUCGGCUAACUCCGUGCCAGCAGCCGCGGUAAUACGGAGGAUGCGAGCGGUAUCCGGAUUUAUUGGGUUUAAAGGGUGCGCAGGCGGAUUUUUAAGUCAGCGGUAAAAUCGUGGGGCUCAACCCCAUCCAGCCGUUGAAACUGGGGAUCUAGAGUGUGCGAGAGGUAUGCGGAAUGCGUGGUGUAGCGGUGAAAUGCAUAGAUAUCACGCAGAACCCCGAUUGCGAAGGCAGCAUACCGGUGCACAACUGACGCUCAGGCACGAAAGCGUGGGUAUCGAACAGGAUUAGAUACCCUGGUAGUC
This 458-nucleotide ribosomal RNA is filed under the name uncultured bacterium. Its description in RNAcentral is "partial 16S ribosomal RNA". It matches the Rfam family "Bacterial small subunit ribosomal RNA", at positions 338 to 795 of the family's 1533-position model. The record is from RNAcentral.